UUAACACAUGCAAGUCGAACGGAAAGGCCCUUUCGGGGGUACUCGAGUGGCGAACGGGUGAGUAACACGUGGGUGAUCUGCCCUGCACUUCGGGAUAAGCUUGGGAAACUGGGUCUAAUACCGGAUAGGACUACGGCCUGCAUGGGUUGUGGUGGAAAGCUUUUGCGGUGUGGGAUGGGCCCGCGGCCUAUCAGCUUGUUGGUGGGGUGAUGGCCUACCAAGGCGACGACGGGUAGCCGGCCUGAGAGGGUGUCCGGCCACACUGGGACUGAGAUACGGCCCAGACUCCUACGGGAGGCAGCAGUGGGGAAUAUUGCACAAUGGGCGCAAGCCUGAUGCAGCGACGCCGCGUGGGGGAUGACGGCCUUCGGGUUGUAAACCUCUUUCACCAUCGGCGAAGCCGGGGGCUUUUGUUUCCGGUGACGGUAGGUGGAGAAGAAGCACCGGCCAACUACGUGCCAGCAGCCGCGGUAAU
RNAcentral lists this ribosomal RNA (475 nucleotides) under uncultured bacterium. RNAcentral's name for it is "bacterial SSU rRNA". It matches the Rfam family "Bacterial small subunit ribosomal RNA", at positions 48 to 524 of the family's 1533-position model. The record is from RNAcentral.